GACGAACGCUGGCGGCGUGCUUAACACAUGCAAGUCGAACGGAAAGACCCUGCUUUUGUGGCGUGCUCGAUUGGCGAACGGGUGUGUAACACGUGAGUAACCUCCCCUUGACAUUCUGAUAACUUCACGAAAAUGGGGCUCAUACCGGAUAGGAGCUCCUGCUGCAUGGUGGUUGUUGGAAAGUUUCGGCUGUUGGGGAUAGACUCGCGGCUUAUCCGCUUGUUGGUCGGGUUGUGGCGUACGAAGGCUAUGACGGGUAGCCGGCCUGAGAGGGUGGCCGGCGACAUUGGGCCUGAGAUACGGACCAGACUCGUACGGGAGGCAGCGGUGGAGAAUAUUGCACAAUGGGCGGGAGCGUGAUGUGAAGACGCCGCGUUCGGGAAGCCGGGCUUCGGGUUGUGAACCGCUUUCGCCUGAGAUGAGGAGUGAGUGACGGUAACUGGUAAAGAAGCCCCGGCUAACUACGUG
RNAcentral lists this ribosomal RNA (468 nucleotides) under uncultured bacterium. RNAcentral describes it as "partial 16S ribosomal RNA". It matches the Rfam family "Bacterial small subunit ribosomal RNA", at positions 28 to 507 of the family's 1533-position model. The record is from RNAcentral.